RNAcentral lists this ribosomal RNA (361 nucleotides) under Lachnellula pini. Its description in RNAcentral is "partial 18S ribosomal RNA". The stretch from base 46 to 321 matches the Rfam family "Group I catalytic intron". From Rfam's summary of the family: Group I catalytic introns are large self-splicing ribozymes. They catalyse their own excision from mRNA, tRNA and rRNA precursors in a wide range of organisms. The core secondary structure consists of 9 paired regions (P1-P9). The record is from RNAcentral. Lineage: Eukaryota; Fungi; Ascomycota; Leotiomycetes; Helotiales; Lachnaceae.
CCCUUCCCCAGGGCGCGUUCGGAAGCCUAUGCAACCCUUCAAGGGGUCCGCGACUGUAAAUAACGGAUGCAAGUAGCGUCAGCUGCAACAUGAUCGAAUUGCGGGGACGUCCUAAAGCCUAGCGGUACCAACACUCGGGGGAAACCCCGGGUGGGCCUGUGUUAAUCGCACGGGAGGUCAGAACCCGCUAGGAUGCUACAGUGGAUGAUCCGCAGCGAAGCCCCUACCGGCGCAAGCCCACGGGGAACGUCCACAGACUAAGUGGUUAUGGGUAGAGCGCGCUCUGCUUAAGAUAUAGUCGGUCGCCCGGGAAACUGGCGCGGUUAAACGUUCCGUAGGUGAACCUGCGGAAGGAUCAUUA